AUGCGCAGCAUGGACUACCACAUGUCCAGGAAACCUAGAGAUCGGCAGCACAACAGCUGCAGGUCCAGGGCCCUGGUUCUACUUAUCGUCGUCGCCACCAACACAGCCACCUUCCUCCUCUUCUCCGACGCCAGUUACUUAGUUGGCAAUGGCUCCGGCGAGCACAACCGCAGCGUCCCCUUCUGGAACUCCGGUAACAUCACGGAUUACGCUCUCGCUGCGAGCCACGAUGAGCUCGUGCACCUGCACGACCACCUCGCCACGGCAAACUCCCUUGUCGAGACGCUCCUGGGCCUAAAGGCUACUGCCAGCGACAUGGCAGCCGCCAGGGAUGAGCAGAAGCAUGUCGGGGUUGACGGACUGUGGCAAUGGGAGCUCACCAGCGAGCUCCAGCUGGCCGUCGGCCCCCACAAACUGCCAUUAGGCUUCACGAAGAACCUGGGGUCCGAUCAGCUGUUCCCGACGGUGGGGCAAGCGUGCCACCAUUUCCCGGACGAGCUGGAGCGCUAUAUGGACUACAAGCCCGGUGGCGAGUGUCCGUCCAAUGAGCAGUUUGCACAGCGGCUCAUGCUCAAGGGCUGCGAGCCAUUGCCACGACGGAGAUGCCGGCCACGCCGCCCGAUAGGGUAUGCUGAGCCCACACCACUGCCAGCGAGCCUGUGGGCCAUGCCGCCAGACACCAGCAUCGUGUGGGACGAGUACACGUGCAAGAACUACUCCUGCCUUGUCAACCGCCGCAAGACCAAGGGUUCCUACGACUGCAAAGACUGCUUCGACCUGCUCAGCGGCCGGGAGAAGGGCCGGUGGAUGCGCGACGACGGUGCACUCUCAUACUCCAUUGAUGCCGUGCUUGCAACAAAGCCAAAUGGCACGGUGCGCAUUGGGCUCGACAUUGGGGGUGGAUCAGGCACGUUUGCUGCACGGAUGCAGGAGCGUGGGGUGACCGUGGUGACCACGUCCAUGAACUUCGAUGCCCCAUUCAAUAACUUCAUAGCUUCGCGGGGUCUUCUCCCCAUGCACCUGAGCAUCGCGCACCGGCUACCGUUCUUUGAUGGCACGCUCGACAUUGUGCAUUCGAUGCAUGUGCUUAGCCACUGGAUCCCCGAUGCCAUGCUCGAGUUCACCUUGUUUGACAUUUACAGAGUGCUGAGGCCCGGAGGAUUGUUCUGGCUCGACCACUUCUUCUGCCUCGGCACGCAAAUGAACACAACAUAUGUGCCCAUGUUCAAUCAAAUCGGUUUCAACAAGGUGCGGUAG
This 1257-nucleotide ribosomal RNA is filed under the name Triticum aestivum (bread wheat). Its description in RNAcentral is "partial small subunit ribosomal RNA". Lineage: Eukaryota; Viridiplantae; Streptophyta; Magnoliopsida; Poales; Poaceae. The record is from RNAcentral.